RNAcentral lists this ribosomal RNA (294 nucleotides) under uncultured bacterium. Its description in RNAcentral is "partial 16S ribosomal RNA". It matches the Rfam family "Bacterial small subunit ribosomal RNA", at positions 333 to 624 of the family's 1533-position model. The record is from RNAcentral.
UGUGCCCUACGGGGCGCAGCAGUGAGGAAUAUUGGUCAAUGGGCGGAGCCUGAACCAGCCAAGUCGCGUGAGGGAAUAAGGCCCUACGGGUCGUAAACCUCUUUUGCCGGGGAGCAAGGGCGGGGACGUGUCCCGGCCCGGAGAGUACCCGGAGAAGAAGCAUCGGCUAACUCCGUGCCAGCAGCCGCGGUAAUACGGAGGAUGCGAGCGUUAUCCGGAUUUAUUGGGUUUAAAGGGUGCGUAGGCGGAUUGAUAAGUUAGAGGUGAAAUGUUCGGGCUCAACUCGGGAACUGC